This 494-nucleotide ribosomal RNA is filed under the name uncultured bacterium. Its description in RNAcentral is "partial 16S ribosomal RNA". It matches the Rfam family "Bacterial small subunit ribosomal RNA", at positions 28 to 507 of the family's 1533-position model. The record is from RNAcentral.
GACGAACGCUGGCGGCGUGCUUGACACAUGCAAGUCGAACGGAAAGGCCUGCUUUCCCUUGUGGAUUGCGGGUACUCGAGUGGCGAACGGGUGAGUAACACGUGAGUGAUCUGCCCCCAACUUGGGUAUAAGCCUGGGAAACUGGGUCUAAUUCCCGAUAGGACUGCAGGGUGGUGCCUGUGGUGGAAAACGAUUUUCUAGUGGUUGGGGAUGAGCUCGCGGCCUAUCAGCUUGUUGGUGGGGUAAUGGCCUACCAAGGCGGCGACGGGUAGCCGGCCGGAGAGGGUGGACGGCCCCAUUGGGACUGGGAUACGGCCCAGACGCCUACGGGAGGCAGCAGUGGGGACUAUUGCACAAUGGGCGGAAGCCUGAUGCAGCGACGCCGCGUGGGGGAUGACGGCCUUCGGGUUGUAAACUCCUUUCGACCGCGAGGAAGCCACCUGGUUGGAAGGGUGGUGACGGUAGUGGUAGAAGAAGCACCGGCUAACUACGUG